RNAcentral lists this unclassified non-coding RNA (305 nucleotides) under Helicocarpus sp. Its description in RNAcentral is "partial contains 5.8S ribosomal RNA, internal transcribed spacer 2, and large subunit ribosomal RNA". The stretch from base 1 to 71 matches the Rfam family "5.8S ribosomal RNA", at positions 84 to 154 of the family's 154-position model. Lineage: Eukaryota; Fungi; Ascomycota; Eurotiomycetes; Onygenales; Ajellomycetaceae. The record is from RNAcentral.
GUGAAUCAUCGAAUCUUUGAACGCACAUUGCGCCCCCUGGUAUUCCGGGGGGUAUGCCUGUCCGAGCGUCAUUGCAACCCUCAAGCGCGGCUUGUGUGAUGGGCGUCGUCCCCGCCAGCGGUGGACGUGCCCCGAAUGCAGUGAUCUGGGCCGCGAUUACGGCGCCUGAGCGAAUGGGAGAACCGCUAGCUCUAGUGGCCCGUCCGGUCCCUGGGUCCCCUGGACGUCUGACGUCCACCACCCAACGUUGACCUCGGAUCAGGUAGGGAUACCCGCUGAACUUAAGCAUAUCAAUAAGCGGAGGA